This 846-nucleotide ribosomal RNA is filed under the name uncultured organism. RNAcentral describes it as "SSU rRNA". It matches the Rfam family "Bacterial small subunit ribosomal RNA", at positions 576 to 1413 of the family's 1533-position model. The record is from RNAcentral.
UGGUGAAUUUAAGUCAGCGGGUGAAAAGUUUGUGGCUCAACCCUUAAAAUUGCCGUUGGAAACUGGGUUACUUGAGUGUGUUUGAGGUAGGCGGAAAUGCGUGGUGUAGCGGUGAAAUGCAUAGAUAUCACGCAGAAACUCCGAUUGCGAAGGCAGCUUCACUAAACCAUAACUGACACUGAAGCACGAAAGCGUGGGGAUCAAACAGGAUUAGAUACCCUGGGUAGUCCACGCAGUAAACGAUGAUUACUAGGAGUUUGCGAUACAAUGGUAAGCUCUACAGCGAAAGCGUUAAGUAAUCCACCUGGGGAGUACGCCGGCAACGGUGAAACUCAAAGGAAUUGACGGGGGCCCGCACAAGCGGAGGAACAUGUGGUUUAAUUCGAUGAUACGCGAGGAACCUUACCCGGGUUUGAACGUAGUCUGACCGGAGUGGAAACACUUUUUCUAGCAAUAGCAGAUUACGAGGUGCUGCAUGGUUGUCGUCAGCUCGUGCCGUGAGGUGUCGGCUUAAGUGCCAUAACGAGCGCAACCCUUAUCACUAGUUACUAACAGGUGAAGCUGAGGACUCUGGUGAGACUGCCAGCGUAAGCUGUGAGGAAGGUGGGGAUGACGUCAAAUCAGCACGGCCCUUACAUCCGGGGCGACACACGUGUUACAAUGGCAUGGACAAAGGGCAGCUACCUGGCGACAGGAUGCUAAUCUCCAAACCAUGUCUCAGUUCGGAUCGGAGUCUGCAACUCGACUCCGUGAAGCUGGAUUCGCUAGUAAUCGCGCUUCGAGCCGUGGCGCGGUGAAUACGUUCCCGGGCCCUUGCACACACCGCCCGUCAAGGGCGAAUUCCAG